RNAcentral lists this ribosomal RNA (400 nucleotides) under uncultured Glomus. RNAcentral's name for it is "SSU rRNA". It matches the Rfam family "Eukaryotic small subunit ribosomal RNA", at positions 569 to 976 of the family's 1831-position model. Lineage: Eukaryota; Fungi; Glomeromycota; Glomeromycetes; Glomerales; Glomeraceae. The record is from RNAcentral.
AGCAGCCGCGGUAAUUCCAGCUCCAAUAGCGUAUAUUAAAGUUGUUGCAGUUAAAAAGCUCGUAGUUGAAUUUCGGGAUUAAUAUGCUGGUCGUGCCAUUGGUACGUACUAGUAUUAUUGAUUUCUCCCUUCUGAUAAAUCAUGAUGUCAUUAAUUUGAUGUCAUGAGGAAUCAGGACUGUUACUUUGAAAAAUUGAGUGUUUAAAGCAGGCUCGCGCUUGAAUACAUUAGCAUGGAAUAAUGAAAUAAGACGUUUGAUUCUAUUUUGUUGGUUUCUAGGAUUGACGUAAUGAUUAAUAGGGAUAGUUGGGGCAUUAGUAUUCAAUUGUCAGAGGUGAAAUUCUUGGAUUUAUUGAAGACUAACUACUGCGAAAGCAUUUGCCAAGGAUGUUUUCAUUAU